UACAGAGGGUGCGAGCGUUAAUCGGAAUUACUGGGCGUAAAGCGUGCGUAGGUGGAGAUUUAAGUUGAGUGUGAAAGCCCCGGGCUCAACCUGGGAAUGGCGAUGGAUACUGGCUCGCUAGAGUGCGGUAGAGGAGAGUGGAAUUCCCGGUGUAGCAGUGAAAUGCGUAGAGAUCGGGAGGAACAUCAGUUGCGAAGGCGGCUCUCUGGACCAGCACUGACACUGAGGCACGAAAGCGUGGGGAGCAAACAGG
Molecule: ribosomal RNA, 253 nt
Filed under: uncultured bacterium
Lineage: Bacteria
Description: partial 16S ribosomal RNA
Rfam family: Bacterial small subunit ribosomal RNA
Source: RNAcentral